CCCUUGAGCUUUGUUCCGGAUGCCUCAGCUUGUCUUCGCAGGCAUUUCAUUUCAGCCUGGGCAGUUGAGCCCAGCUGCAUCAUAAAUCUUUGAAAAAUCUUCAAAGUCCUUGUAUCACAUCCUAAUAUUUCACAUUAUUAAAAGUUAUUUUUUUGUGUGAGUUUAGUUUUUUAAAUGUUCGUUUUUAAAGCUCCUGCAACACUAUGAGCUAUUGGUCAUUAGGAAAUGUAUUUGUGUGUUUCCUAGACAACUAGAAUCAUGUUUUAUAUGAAAGAAUAUUUUUCAAACGUGUAUGAAUAUAUUCUAAACUACACAGGGGUAAGUUUUUGUUUUAGGUUAUUUUGGGCAAGAAAGUAGUCUGAUGGAUAUCCUGGUAUUUGUAUAAUAACCAAUUAGAGGUCAGAGGAGUGAUUUUUGGGGUUUUCUCUACCAUCUCUUCACCACAGAGAAGGUAUAGGUUAGUAAAGGGCAGAAUUGGGAUUUGGAUCUACUUCUGAAGGAUACUAAAACCUCUAAUCUUUGUUUGAUCAAGUGGAUAUGGUGAAUAUCUUCAUUAUUUUAUCAAAUUUGAUACUUGUUAUCCCUAAAACUAUUAUUCAUUUUCCAGAAUGGUCCAAAAUUAUUAUCCACUUUCCAGAAUUCCCUAAAAGUAAAUUAAGAGAGCUAUGGAAAGCUGUUGAAUAAACCAGGAAGAAUGGUAAGCUCUUUGAAGCUACUCUUGUUAUUCAUCUGAAAUUACACAUAUUUUCAUGUACUCUUUACUUUGUUUUCAUUGUUGCAGAUGCAAAAUAUGACAUUGGAAAACCAGGAAAUAGAACCUUUGCUUUGGUUUAAAAAUGAGGUGCCUCCCAAAAGCUCAUAUGUGAGACAACUCAAGAAUGUUCAGAGCUGUGACAUAUUCAGUGAAUCAAUUCACUGAUGUGGAGUAACUCCAUGAUAAAUGUAGACAAGUCAGAUGUGGCCCUUUCACCACGAUGCUCUGCCUCACAUUUAGCCUAGAGCUAUGGAGUCAGAAGUCUAGGAAUUGAACCUCUGAAACUAUGAGCCAAAAUAAACUUUUGCUCCUCUGUAUUGGUCUCAUUAGGUCUUUUGGUCAUAGUGACGCAAAGCUGACUAAAACAACCUUGUAUAUGGUGUUCGUAAUUCUGAUAAUCAGUAAAGGUGUGGUUGAAAAAUCUUCCUAAAACAUCAAAGCCCAGGACUCUUCUCUUUAUCCUUUCCAUCAUCCGAUCCAAGGGUCUGAGUUGCUUAGGGCCUCACUAAGUUGCUGAAGCUGGCUUUGAACUCACGAUCCUGCUGCCUUAGCCUUACCAGCUGCUGGGAUUAUAGGUGUGCACCACUGUGCCUGGCGAUUUUUCACCUUUGAAACUAUCUCCAGCAAUGGGGGCGUUUCAGACUGCUCUCAGGAAUCCUUAUUCAUAUCGAACCCAGCGCCCCGCGCAAGCCAGGUGAGCGUACUACUGCUUGAGCCACAUCCCCAUCCCCUCUCUGAUUUUUUACUAUCAUCUCAUAGAGUAUAAAUAGGAAAAUAACUAUUCCUAUGCUGUUUAUAGGGGAAUAGGAAAACCAUGUGGAUUUUAAAAGUAUUUUUAUGUCAUACUUGUAUUUAAAAAUAACUAAAUCUAUAAUCACGUAAGCAUUUCUCUUCCACAAUUGUUUUAUUCUUUUCUUUCUUUUGGUUCUUGAGAUUUAACCCAGAGGUAUUUUGCCACGGGGCCACACACACCCCAAGCCUUUCUUCUUUUUUAUUUUGAGACAGGACCUCAUUAAAUUGCUGAAGCUGGUCUUGAACUUGUGAUCCUGUCUCAGCCUCACCAGUUUCUGGGAUUAUAGGUGUGUGCCGUGUGCUUGGCUUU
Ictidomys tridecemlineatus (thirteen-lined ground squirrel) is the source of this 1856-nucleotide non-coding RNA. Lineage: Eukaryota; Metazoa; Chordata; Mammalia; Rodentia; Sciuridae. The record is from RefSeq and is a predicted model, not a curated record.